AGGCGGAUGAUAAUGAUUGAAGAGAAGGGGAGCUGCUGUUGACUAUUGAGGCACUCCAGGAAACAGUGGAAGAAGGUCUGACAAGGUGCUCUUGAAAGAAACCCUUUGAAAAUGAUGAAGGAGGAGGAGUGUGGAGAAGACAAAGCGUCAAAACGGCAGAGUUUGAGUUGAGCCAUUAAAAGUCAAAGAAAGUGUUUGUGUGUUUUGAGGGCAUGGAGAAAAGGAUGGACACCAGUAGAUGUCAUUGGACUGGAGAUGGAGGUGAAUGCCCCCAGAGGAAAUGGUGGAUCAUAGGGGCUCAAGCUGCAAAAUGGAGGACUCAUCAGGAAGAAAAGAAUGUCAAUAAGAUGUCCAAGCAGCACAUUUGCAGGCGAUUGUGCUACUUCCAGUGUGGUUUAAGUCUCUUGGCCUUUGGACAAAUGCCUCAUCAUAACACCACCCGAGGUGUGCUAUAAUUGCCAAGAAAUGCUCUACCUGUCAUGUCUUAUUGCUUAAAUAUUUAUGCUUAUGACAUUUGAUUCCUACACUCUAUAUGUCAUCAGCAUGUUUCACUCGCACUAGAUAUGUCAUCACCCACCAGGAACAGCUGACACUGAGGAUUAGAGCACUUUCAAAUUAAAAAUCCCUAAACAAAGAAAUGACAUGUUAGCAAUUGUCUAGCAUAGUAUAAAUCACAUAUAUGAUUAUCUGAAUUAAUAGAUUUAUUACAUUAAGAUGACCCAGUCAUUUAAUUCAAUGAGUGCUGUGCCUUGCUUUAGUGUGGUUAAAUGGAAUAAUAAUAAUUCUCUUAUUUCCUCUAUAUAUCAUUCCACGGAGUUGGUAGGGAGCAAUGCAUGUAUGGUCCCAGGGCAGAAGUUGUGUCCCAUUUCUAGAGGUCUACAGUAAUAGUCCUUAUACAAUGAAACCCCUCUAGUUGGUAAUUCCUGUCUAUAAGGACUACUUUGCAGAGUCCCCAAUGCUUUAAGUACAGUUUUGGUUGACCUUUAAUUGUAAAACCAACCUCUACUAGACAAAUGAUUUUCAAUUGCCUAAGACAUUUUUCACAGGAAAAACUGGAAUGCAGAUUUUUUUGAACGGGCGUGUGUGUGUGUGUGUGUGUGUGUGUGUGUGUGUGUGCAU
This 1119-nucleotide long non-coding RNA is filed under the name Chrysemys picta bellii (western painted turtle). RNAcentral describes it as "lncRNA (ENSCPBG00000013118.1)". The record is from RNAcentral. Lineage: Eukaryota; Metazoa; Chordata; Testudines; Emydidae.